This 1245-nucleotide ribosomal RNA is filed under the name Triticum aestivum (bread wheat). RNAcentral describes it as "partial small subunit ribosomal RNA". The record is from RNAcentral. Lineage: Eukaryota; Viridiplantae; Streptophyta; Magnoliopsida; Poales; Poaceae.
AUGCAAACGCACAGCAAACUGUGUGUCUCCGCACUUACUACUCUAUCUGGACUCCAAGAGUGGGCAGACCUCCCAGAUGGUUUGUUGCACACCAUUCUUCCUCUCUUAGGCUCUGUACGUGAUCUUCUUGCCUUUUCUGCAACAUGCCGCUCUUGGCAUGUUGCAUUCUUGUCAUACCCAUCCAAAUCUACCCUCUGCACCCUGUUCCCCCCUCUCCUCAUCCAAACCAACAUCCGUGUUGAUGCUCCUCACGUUCCAUCUAACGAUAUUCAUUGCAAGUUGCACACCUGUAAGGUCAUUGACCCAUCCAACCAAAACAUCACUCUUCGCUGCCAGAUUGAUGAAGAAAUUCUACAAAAGAUGUAUUGUGUUGGCCCUUCCUAUGGUCAUCUCAUCUUCUUUUGCUCCCGUGGAUAUUGUCUUGUUGUUGACCCUUUCAGUGGUUCCAAAGUUUCACCCCCACGUCUUCCAAUCAGUGGCUGCGAGCGGGUUAGUCCUACCAAAAUACAUGCUCAACAUUCAGAGAUUGCGGAGUUGUACUUCUUCGGUGUUCUAACAGCUCCCAUUACAUCACCCAAUUCACAUCUCCUUGUGGGAACUCGAUUCUCUCUAUUUGAUUGGCCAGUUGGAAGUGACUCUUGGUCAGAACUCAAACUUCCUUCUGGUGCACAAAUAACUCAAAUCGUGGAAUUCAAGGGUCAGUUUAUUGCCAUGGAUUAUCAUAGAAGGAUCUACUCUUUCGAGUUAGCGCCCCAGCUUGGCCUACAAGAGAUAAUAACUGAGUGGUCUCCCCACUCGAUCAGAACCCCAUACCAAACAUCAUGGCUAGUGGUUUGUGGUGACAUGCUCCUCAUGUUCAUCACGGUUGACCAUUGGAGCAGACGUAUUAAGGAUGGUGGUAUUUUGAAAAAGGUUUGUACACUUCACCUCGACAUGUCAAGCAAACCUGCAAAAUGGGUUGUCAAGAAAAAGUUGGGCAGCUGGGCAGCCUUUGCAGGAUGUGAUACGAAGAACAUGCCAUUAUCUAAUAUGAACCCAGAACGAUGGGGAGGGAGGAGCAAUUCAUUGUAUUACGCCGAGAGUUCUCCACCUUGGAGAGUACACGAGCUGGACAGCGCACAUGAUCCUUGGGACGCUUCCAUCAGGCAGUGCGUAAUAUAUUGGGGCCACUACAUGAAGCCCCUCUGGGUGUAUCCAAGCAUGCUCUAUUCAGAUGGGGCCAGUGAUCAUCGUGUGGAACGAUAG